GGGUGGUGGGUGAGUCGUUCAGCGAUGCGCGGCGGUUCAGCGGUGCGCGGCGGAUGCGUUAGAUAGAGGACUCCACGCGGCAACAGCAGCUAUGUUACAGCAGCGGUUUUGGCGUGAGUUGCACGCAGGCCGCAAACCAGGAACCAUGCGCAGCCAGGAGUAGCAGAAGCUGCUGCACGGGCUGCGCGUGGUCCCCAGUUGCGCCCUGCACUGCAGCUUUCACUCACAGACAGUAGCUGCUGUAACAUAGCAGGUGUCCCCAGCCCUGUGAACCGAUACACGCGCCGGCGCGGCGCGCACGCCGCCAGAUCUCCCCAAGCACCUUUACAUGUCACUCUGCCUUUCCAACACCCCGCCCGCCCGCGCCCCGCCCACCCUGGGCUACCACCCCCCCCCCCUUCGCUCUCUGCCCCCGCGCCCCCACCUCCGCGAUCUCCACGUUGGCUCCGUCCAGGGUGCCGAUGAUGAGCGAGCCGUUCAUGGUGAACUUCAUGUUGGACGUGCCCGACGCCUCCGUGCCUGUGUAAAUUGUUGCACGCGUGUGCGUGUUGUAAGUGCUGUACGUCUUGUUUUGCCAUGCUUGGGGGUGGGGUGCCUGUGCUCUGCCGUGUUUGGCGAGCUCCUCCCCUGACCCAGCGGAUUCUGGCACCCAAGACACCCCGUAUGACCCUCCACGCAUCUGCCCGCCCUUCCCACAGCUACCCUUCCCUUACCCUCCACCCAUUCCCGCAACCUCCACCCCAGCCCACCCUUCCCCGCCUUCCCACCCCCAAAACCAGCCCUCACCCGCGGUGGAGAUGUGCUGCGACAGCUCGGUGGCGGGGAUGAUGACCUCGGCGCUGGACACGUUGUAGUCGGGCAGGAACACCAGCUUGAGCAGGUCGCCCAUGUCGGGGUCCUGGUUGAUCUUGUCGCCCACGGCGCAGAUGAGCUUGAUGAUGCGCUUGGCCAUCUCGUAGCCGGGCGCCGCCUUGCCGCCG
This 980-nucleotide long non-coding RNA is filed under the name Chlamydomonas reinhardtii. RNAcentral describes it as "long non-coding RNA (CREI_LNC001049)". Lineage: Eukaryota; Viridiplantae; Chlorophyta; Chlorophyceae; Chlamydomonadales; Chlamydomonadaceae. The record is from RNAcentral.